RNAcentral lists this unclassified non-coding RNA (349 nucleotides) under soil metagenome. RNAcentral describes it as "partial contains 5.8S ribosomal RNA, internal transcribed spacer 2, and large subunit ribosomal RNA". The stretch from base 1 to 120 matches the Rfam family "5.8S ribosomal RNA", at positions 35 to 154 of the family's 154-position model. The record is from RNAcentral.
GAUGAAGAACGUAGCGAAAUGCGAUAAGUAAUGUGAAUUGCAGAAUUCAGUGAAUCAUCGAAUCUUUGAACGCACAUUGCGCCCGCCAGUAUUCUGGCGGGCAUGCCUGUUCGAGCGUCAUUUCAACCAUCAAGCCCCCGGGCCUGUGUUGGGGACCUGCGGCUGCCCGCAGGCCCCGAAAACCAGUGGCGGGCUCGCUGUCACCCCGAGCGUAGUAGCAACACCUCGCCCAGGGAGUGCCGCGGGCACCGGCCGUAAAACCUCGCCCUCGCGCGAGAAACACCCCAAAGGUUGACCUCGGAUCAGGUAGGAAGACCCGCUGAACUUAAGCAUAUCAAUAAGCGGAGGA